RNAcentral lists this long non-coding RNA (1946 nucleotides) under Phaseolus vulgaris (common bean). RNAcentral describes it as "long non-coding RNA (PVUL_LNC005177)". The record is from RNAcentral. Lineage: Eukaryota; Viridiplantae; Streptophyta; Magnoliopsida; Fabales; Fabaceae.
GGGCAUAGUCUUGGAAGUGCGAUGGCGACACUGAGUGCUUUCGAUGUUGUGGAAAAUGGGGUGAACGUGGGAAAGGAUGGGAGAAAAGCGCAUGUUUCGGUGUUUUCGUUUUCGGGGCCGAGGGUGGGGAAUGUGAGGUUCAAGGAGAGGUUGGAGAAGGAGCUGGGGAUAAAGGUGCUGAGGGUGCUGAACAAGCAUGACCUUGUAUCGCAGUCGCCGGGGUUGUUCUUCAAUGAGGACUCGCCGCGGUGGUUGGUGAAGCUGGUGGAGUGGUUGCCCUGGUGUUAUUUGCACGUUGGGGAGCAGUUGGAGUUGGAUCACAAGAAAUCACCUUUCUUGAACCCUGAUGCGGAUGUUGCCUGCGCCCAUAACUUGGAGGCUCAAUUGCACUUGCUCGACGGGUACUUUCUUACACUUUCUUCUUCAUUCUUCACUCUUCACUUCAACAACCACACAAAACUCAUCUUCAACAACUCUGCGUCUACACAAAACUCACUUCACCCACUCAUGCAAAAUUUGUGUUUUCAACAGUUUUUACUCAUAAAUCAUCGGUUAGGUUAAAUAAAUUAGAGUGCUAAUAUCUUCAGAAAAAAAUACAGUUAAUACCUUAAUAAAUCAAUAUUUUUCUAUAAGAUAUACUGAUAAUUUGUAAUUUUUUUAUAUAAUCAUAUUAUAACUCUUAAUAAUAUUAUUUUAAUAUUUUUAUAUCAUUUAAUUAUAAAUUUAUAUAUCAUUUUAUAUGUUUAUUAAUAAACUUAUUAUUUGUUUUUUAUAUUUUUUUUUAUAAAUGGUAUACAACUUUAAAAAUUAUACAAUUAUAUAUAUAUUUUUUUUACUUUUGACUGUAUCCAAUAAACUUUUCUCAAUAAAUUAUGACAGCUAGAAAUUAAAAAGACAUCACCCUGCUACCUACUUUAGGAACCAAAAGACAUCUUUCAGCGAAACACUUUAUAACCUCAAGAAAUAGUAUAAUAAUAUUUUAUAUUAAAAAUGAAAAAUAAAUUAAAUAUAAUUAAAAUAUUAAUUUAAUGGAUUAUGUUUAUGUGAAGAAUGUGAAUGUAUAGUACUCUCUUUUUACUAUAUUAUAUUUCUUUCUCUUCCUUUGCAGGGUUGGAAACAAGAAAGUUUACAAUUUAAUUAAUUGAAAAAUAAUGAAAUAUUUUCAAUAAUUAAAUAUAAAUUAAUUGAGUCUCAAUCCAACCAAUCAGUUUUUCUAAAGAUUGACUGUUUUUUAGUGAUGUAUGGGUCUAUUAGAGGAUGUGAGUAAUAGAUAGAGAAUAUUUAAAAGAUGUGAAGAAUCCAUAUAACGAUAAAAUGAUAUUUUCAAAGAUGUGAUGUCUUGUUUUUGUCUUGUUUGUGUCGUCAUACACAUGCCAACAGCUGUUAAUAUUCUGAGUUAUGGAGGGUGUCAGCAGGACCAUGCCUCGUGACUAAUUCAGAAGAUAUGUUUUAUUAUCUAUAUUUCUAUCAUCGUUCUAUUUAUUCCACAUAAUAAACAAAAUUAUUUUAUUAUUCUAUUAUUUAUCACAUACAUAUUAUUUACUCUCUUUUUUUCUGUAGCCGUUUCUUCCACGUCUGGUUAGAUGAAAAUGAUUUAGGAAGAUAUUUUAUAAAUAAAAAUAUUAAAUAUGAUGAUCUGAUAAGAAAGGUUUGAUCAUGCGCAGAUACCAUGGAAAGAAUGAUGCAUUCAAGAGAACGAGUUUGAGGGACAUUGCUUUGGUGAACAAGGCUUGCGACUUCUUGAAGGACGAGCAUUCGGUGCCACCAUACUGGAGGCAAGACCUGAACAAGAACAUGACCAAGACUGAAGAAGGAACGUGGGUGUUCAGUGAGCGUCCAAUAUCUCUAGAUUCACACCAUGAUAUUGAUCCCCAUCUCGGCGAACUAGGCAUCCUUUCUUCUGAUCAAUCAAUCAAUCAGCAGUGAUUAAGGAUCACACUCUAUCU